CCGCGCAGUUAAGCGCAGGCAAAAUACUGUAAUGAUCCUUCCGCAGGUUCACCUACGGAAACCUUGUUACG
This 71-nucleotide ribosomal RNA is filed under the name Lizanozyma spartinae. RNAcentral's name for it is "Scheffersomyces spartinae partial 28S ribosomal RNA". Lineage: Eukaryota; Fungi; Ascomycota; Pichiomycetes; Serinales; Debaryomycetaceae. The record is from RNAcentral.